CCUACGGGUGGCAGCAAUGGGGAAUAUUGCACAAUGGGGGAAACCCUGAUGCAGCGACGCCGCGUGAGUGAAGAAGUAUUUCGGUAUGUAAAGCCCUAUUAGCAGGGAAGAAGAAAUGACGGUACCUGAGUAAGAAGCACCGGCUAAAUACGUGCCAGCAGCUGCGGUAAUACGGAUGGUGCAAGCGUUAUGCGGAUUUACUGGGUGUAAAGGGAGCGCAGGGGGCACGGCAAGCCUGAUGUGAAAGCCCGGGGCCCAACCGCGGGACUGCAUUGGGAACUACCGGGCUGGAGUGCCGGAGAGGUAGGCGGAAUUCGUGGUGUAGCGGUGAAAUGCGUAGAUAUUAGGAGGAACACCAGUGGCGAAGGCGGCCUACUGGAC
This 381-nucleotide ribosomal RNA is filed under the name uncultured bacterium. RNAcentral's name for it is "partial 16S ribosomal RNA". It matches the Rfam family "Bacterial small subunit ribosomal RNA", at positions 338 to 734 of the family's 1533-position model. The record is from RNAcentral.